UUUUGAUAUUGUACAACUAUGAGCAAAAAUGUGCAACCGAGUAUAACUAUACAACUAUGAGCAAAUUUGUGA
Molecule: small RNA, 72 nt
Filed under: Arabidopsis thaliana (thale cress)
Lineage: Eukaryota; Viridiplantae; Streptophyta; Magnoliopsida; Brassicales; Brassicaceae
Description: ATSL201980
Source: RNAcentral